This 199-nucleotide ribosomal RNA is filed under the name uncultured prokaryote. RNAcentral describes it as "partial 16S ribosomal RNA". The record is from RNAcentral.
UGAGAACCAGCUUAUCAGAAAAAAAGUUUGAAUUAUGGCGAGAAAUAAAAGUCUGAAACAUGAUUAAACUCCUAAGCAGAAAACCUACCGCGCUUCGCUUGGUCAACCCCUCAGCGGCAAAAAUUAAAAUUUUUACCGCUUCGGCGUUAUAACCUCACACUCAAUCUUUUAUCACGAAGUCAUGAUUGAAUCGCGAGUG